AAGCUCCUUUAAAAUCACCACGUGAACAUCAUCUGGUCCUGCUGAUAUAUCACCGUCCAUGCUAUUGGCUUCUGGCCCAUCUGUUGAGACCAUUACUCAUCGCCUGCAGAUAAAAGUUCUAGCAUGGAAACUCUCCUAAUCCCUUCCACAGGGAGCACUGCUGCAGAUGAUGCUACAACAGAACUUUGUGGAGGGCAGAGCAGAACCAGGGAGACACAGAGGGGCAGAUCCUUGUGUGAUACAACCAGGCCCAGCUCCACUGGAGCACACUGGGGAAAUGGCUUGCAGCAAGCAGAAGCAGAUCCUGCCUAACAUGGUAACAAGACUCAGAUCUGGAUGUUCUCAGCUUUCAUGUGGCCAUGCCAAAGCUCCAUUUUCAUGCCUCGCAUACUCAAACUUAAGGCUCCAGUCUAUAUUUAAAAAUGCUGUGACUAUCUCACGUUCUUCCCAGCCUACUAACCAAGUACCAUAUAAACUUUC
This 480-nucleotide long non-coding RNA is filed under the name Parus major (Great Tit). RNAcentral describes it as "lncRNA (ENSPMJG00000017816.1)". The record is from RNAcentral. Lineage: Eukaryota; Metazoa; Chordata; Aves; Passeriformes; Paridae.